UUGAAAUUUGAAAAUAAGACUUGUUUCAUUGAUCAUAAGGAACUAUUUUCAUCCAAAAUGCUCAUUUCAUUCAUACAAUACCAUUUACAAAGAAUUCAUACAAAAAUUACAAAAAAAUGGAUUUUGACCUACAAUUGACUUUGGUCAAUUGUUGGCUUUUUGGUCAACAAGUUGACUAAAGUCAACUUACCUAAUCCUUAAACCUAAUGUCAAUGUUCGCUGGGAUUCUUCAUUCUCCGUCUUCUCUUUUAACUUCAUGGCCAAGGUUACUUCACUUGCAAGCAAGACAUGUUGUUUUCUUCAAGUAAUCACCUUGCCUUUCAUGAUGGUUUCAUACCAAGCACCUUGAAGUCACAUUCCAAGCAUAGGUAAGCCUGCAUUAAAUGUAUCACCAAGGCACAUCAUAAAACGGAUUCAAACAACCAACAUAGUUAUCACACAUUUCAUCAACACCACAUACAAAUGCAACCAUAACUUUCAGCCUGCAUAUGGUAACUAAGUGACUAACAUUUUGCAACCAUGCCAUACCUCAAUACAAGCUAAUUGACCUCUCACAUUUAAACCUAUCUAAUGCCAAUUUCAUUCAUACAUUUAGCUAGCAUCAUACUCAUAACAAAACCUAUAUUAACAAGAAGUUCAUCUAACCAAUAAAUGACUUCACAAACAAACUGUUAACUUCUAACAAAUGAACUAAAUUUCAUCACUUCCUUCAAACAGGUUUUAUCACAUUCACUGACAGCAUGACAACUAAUCUAACUGUAAUUUAAAUACCACAAUUUCACUCAACAGGAAUUUAGUUCUAACAUGUUACUUUAACUUUUUUUUAACAUUCACAUAGAUGUCAUUAACAACCUAUCAUUUUAACUUUGAUCUAAUUAACUAACAAAACAAUAUGACAACAAUCAUGUAACAAGAAUUUUAGCAAAAUUAUCACCAUUCAAAAAUAUAGUAAUCUAAUGGAUAACUGACUUUGUGAUAAUAGAAUUUCUGUCUAACUAGUGUGAUAGAAGUUUCCCUGUAACUAAAUAUUCUAACAGCACCACAUUCAUUCUAAUUUUGAAAAUUAACUAAACAUUCAUCUAACAAUCAACAUCAACACUAACUUAGUAGAGAUCGCUAAUAAGGAAAAUGUCAUCAAUGUUCAUUUAACAUGAAUUUCACUAACUAAUAUUAACAGAAGAUCAACUUUUCUAACUUCCUAACAAUCAAACCAUUAACUAACAAAACUAACAACUUCUAACUGCAACUUUAAACUAACAGAAAUUCUAAGCUUAACUCAGCAUCUAACUAACUUCCAUUUAACAGAUUUAAUUCAAACCUAACAUAAUUCUUAUCUAACUAAUUUUCAUGCAUCCCAUCAGUUAAUGGUGUCUUCAUUCCAAACUAAAUUGAACUGGCUCUGAUUAACAAAGUUAACCUCUGUUAAUCUCCAACCUCUAUAUAAUCUAUCCUCAUACCAAUCAUUCAUUCACAAACACUCCCUCAAUCCUCUCACAUUCACAAUCUCUCAAAAAAUCUCUCUCAGUCACUCACUCUCAUUAAUACACAAGCAUAAAACAACAACAGAAGAAGAGUUAAAAAGAAGAAGGAGUGGAACAAAGAAGAAGAAAGAGCUCCAUAUUCAAGUUACUCGCCUGAGAUUGUUCUGGAAUCUCUACUUCAUUCAUCAUCAUCUUUUUCACCGAGACAAAACUCUAUGUCGAAGGUUGGUACCUUGAUUUUGUCUGCUCAUUACCGAGGUUUUUCCACCGUGAUGUAGUUCUUAGUCCCAGGAAUUAAAGCCCUAACCAUAUUGGCUUUAAUUCCUUUUCCUUAGAAUUUAAUUUCUUAAUUUUGUAUCUAGGGUUCAUGCAUAUUUCGAUUCGGUUAGAAAGUUAUUCUUAGAAUUGGGAGACGAGGAUAAUGGAUAUUGUUAGAGCGCAUUGGGACGAAGGGAUCCAUAUAUGACUUUGCUGAUUUUAGUCUCCGCCUCCACCGUUGGUGAAUUCCGACGCGGCAGAGUUCAUUCUCAGGUGAGGCAUGUUGAACAUUUUAAACAUGUGAGCUGGUGAACGCUGCCUCUUUCCCUUUCUCACUUUGUUUGGCUUGGGCCUUGAAGCGCCAGGGCCCAAUAUUUUGCUUAAGUUUACACUUUGAAUAUAGGAGUAC
Molecule: long non-coding RNA, 2148 nt
Filed under: Lathyrus oleraceus (garden pea)
Lineage: Eukaryota; Viridiplantae; Streptophyta; Magnoliopsida; Fabales; Fabaceae
Description: Pisum sativum (pea) long non-coding RNA (PSAT_LNC022558)
Source: RNAcentral